RNAcentral lists this transfer RNA (72 nucleotides) under Camelus ferus (Wild Bactrian camel). It matches the Rfam family "tRNA". From Rfam's summary of the family: Transfer RNA (tRNA) molecules are approximately 80 nucleotides in length. Their secondary structure includes four short double-helical elements and three loops (D, anti-codon, and T loops). The record is from Rfam by way of RNAcentral. Lineage: Eukaryota; Metazoa; Chordata; Mammalia; Artiodactyla; Camelidae.
GAGGGUAUGGCUCAGCGGUAGAGGGCAUGCCUAGCGUGCGUGAGGUCCUGGGGUCAAUCCCCAGCGCCUCCA